UGUGUAGAAGGUUACAUAUGCAAGUUUGAACUUUUCUUCUGUGGUGUAUAUAUAACAGACUGAUUAUUUAAGUCCAUACUCCGCUUUGUACCUUUCACCCUUUACAACUAUAUAUGCACUAAGGCAGGGCAGUUUAAGAACACCCUCGCUCUCUAUUAUACUUCCAUCAGUUUGCACAAUUAUUGGUCAGUGGGCUGUUGUGUACCUGCUCUUGAUGAACUGAAAACCCAAAGCGCCGCUCGCUUAUGUUGUAAGAACUGGGGGCCAAACCCUUCUGCUUUUUACUGUAUCGUAAAGGUUUUGUUUCUGUAUAUACAUGUAUAUAUAAGCAAUAAAAUAUGUUUAAACUAACCCAAAGCGCCGAGUGCCAACUAUCCCAACAGGGGAGAGUGUAGUGUCCUCCCCAUCUAGAGGAUGGUAGUUGUAUCCCUUGACAAGCUCUACAUUUAAAAUGUUUUUCAUACUGAUUGCCUGAAUACAGGAUGUGUAAAAUUUGUGUGUGGAAGUUGAAAGUUACAGGAAACAAAUUAGUACUAGUCGGGAACACUGGACCAGGUGCAUGACAUACAUUGGAAGAGAUAAAAAUAACUGGUUUCCCACAAGUUAGUAUAAAAGUAGCUGAGCUCAUUUCAAGACAGGAGUGUCUUAAAUGUAGGCGAAUAGAAUAUCUAUAUUCCCACUUGUGUAAUUAUUUCAUCAUUCUUUUUGCGGUUAAGCAGAAUGAUUGAAGCUUUAUAAAUAAAAGCAAAGUUACUACUUACAAAGUACUUAAAACUGCACCAAAACAUCGAAUGAUAUUUAACCUCUGUUCCUAUUAUUUUAAGUACUGAACAGUUCAGUUAAAAGAAAAUUACUGUGUUGGGGAUGGGGGUCUCAAGAACCAAAACUAUCUUGGGUAUGACAGUGAUGUGGUGGUUAUGUUAAGAAAGUUAUGUUUCAUGUACUUUACAGUAUGUUUAGUUCUAAACGUAACAAGAGUUGUUUUGUUCUGGGCAGAAAUAUCUUUGAAAUAUUUUGUUUUAGUUAUUCUGAUGUACCAUCCCAUUCUGGUCAUUUUUGAUUGCACAGAAGUAUACUGAACCUAUAGUUGUGGUUACUUCUUUGAAGUGAUAAAAUCGAGGAUUGAUGAAAGUGUGAAUUAAGUACUUGCAUACAUGUUGUCCCAUCUUGGAUUUGACAUUGUGCUUUACUCAUCCUACAUGCAUGUUUAAAGUUUCGCAGUCUCAUUUCAUAUCGGCUCAUAUCCUAUGGACCCCACUUCCACCCUUAUCCCACCUCGCUGUUACUUCUUCUUAUUAUAAAUUGUCUUCUUUUAAAAAUAUUGUGAUUCGCAGAAUUGUUCCUUGAGUUUUUGGCAGUUUUUAAAGCAUUUGAACAGAGCUGGGACCCAGAAGCAUUUAAAUGUUUAACAACUAACACUUAUCUCUAUAACUUUCAGAAGGCAGUGGAAUGGAUUCCCAGUUUACUUGUUUGAGCACUAUCUGUUUUGUUAUCAACAAGCGCUUGCAUGUUGAAAGGUUUCUGCAGAAACCACAUGAAAACCUGGAUUUAUUUUGGAUUUAAGUUGAAUAUUUUGAAGUAGAUAAGGCUUCCCUAAUCGCAGAAACCCACUGGGAUUUGAAGUGUGUUAGCUAAGAUUUGGUUAGAUCUAUCAAUAACAGUAUAAUAACUGUUACAUUCAGUACUUUGAAGGUCAUUUAAUUUUUAUCAUUCACCUUAACACUGUAAGUGGAAAACCCACCAGUGUAAGUAGUGCCUUGUAAUGCAAUUAAGAAAUACUUUGACAUGGUCUGUCGUACAUUUUCUAUUUAUCCAUCUUGCACCACUGAUCUAUGUUGGGACAUUAUCAGUUCCUUGUAGAGAACACUGACUUUCUGUUUGUCAAGGAACACUGCUUGUACAGUGCCAUGGCCUGGGAAUACAAUCCAGUUUCCAUGGUUUUAUGACUUAAAUACUGUUGAAAUGGACAUUAAAUGUAGUGAAAUACAAUUUUUUGGCUCAGUUAUAGAUUUUGACAAUUUUCUGUUUACAAAGAAACUUAAAGGGUAAAAAGAAUCCGUGAUUGAGACAACACCUUUGUGCCCAAGUGGUAACUGGUUAAAAUUUAACAUAGAUACAGUUUAUGAAAAAGCGAUAUAUGCCCAAACUUUGGGGUUGUUUGUGAUUUUAAAAGUCCAAGGUUGAUUUUAAUGAGGUUAACUGAAUCUCUUAAACACCCAG
Molecule: long non-coding RNA, 2220 nt
Organism: Mercenaria mercenaria
Lineage: Eukaryota; Metazoa; Mollusca; Bivalvia; Venerida; Veneridae
Exons: 2
Source: RefSeq, a predicted model, not a curated record